Molecule: RNA transcript, 3143 nt
Organism: Triticum dicoccoides
Lineage: Eukaryota; Viridiplantae; Streptophyta; Magnoliopsida; Poales; Poaceae
Gene name: nuclear intron maturase 2, mitochondrial-like
Exons: 3
Source: RefSeq, a predicted model, not a curated record
AUGCCUCCGCCUCGCCGCGCGCUCAUCUCCUCCCUCCUCCGCCUCCGCGCCUGCUCCUCCCUUGCCCACCACUCACCGCGGCCGCCGCCGCCCUCCUCGCGCCGCCACCAGUUCGUCGCCGACCCCAACGCCGCCGCCGGCACGGGACGAAGCAGCGUCGGCGGCAACCCCUUGGACCCCACGCAGCUCCUCCGCGACGACCCGGUGUCCAUCACCGCGUCGCUGUGGGUCUCCUCCUUCCGCGCCGCCGCGCCUGGCGACGCCGCUCCACCACCGCCGCCGGCGCUGGCCCCCUUCCUCACUCGCCUCGAGCUCUGGGUGCUCGCCUACCAGAAGGCGUACGCGGACGAGACCGGCUCCUACCUACCCCGCUCCUCCAUCCCCGCCUCCACGCUCACCUCCAUCCUCACCCUCCGCAACGCCGUCAUCGACGCCCGCUUCCGCUUCGGCAACCGCCUCACGCCCUACCUCCACUCCCCGCGCGCCGCGGCGGCCCCGGACCCCGCCACCCUCUCCAAGCGCAAGCUCCGCGCCCUCCUCACCACCCCGGGCCCGGCCCCCUUCCAGGACCGCGUCGUGCAGGAGCUGCUCCUGCUGCUGCUCGAACCAGUGUAUGAGGCGCGGUUCUCGCCCAAGUCCUUCGCCUUCCGCCCUGGGCGAUCCCCGCAUGCCGCACUCCGUAGCAUCCGCCGGAGCUGGGCGCCCUACCUCUGGUACAUCAAGGGAGACCUCUCCCCGCUGCUUGAUUCCCCUGACCCUGCGCUCGUGGUCGGCGCGCUCAUCCGUGAUGUGCGUGACAAGAAAGUGGUCGAUCUAGUCCGCUCGGCACUGCUUACUCCAGUGGUGACCGCCAGGCCUGGUGAUGAUGAUGCAUCAAAGAAGAAGAAGAAGAGGAAGUACCAGAAAAAGAAGGUGCUGCCUGAAGGGGAGCCGAAGCCUGACCCCUACUGGUUGCAGACAUUCUUUGGGUUUGCACCAGAGGAGGCUCUGACUCAGCCUGAUUGGGGGCAUUGUGGGGUGCUGAGCCCAUUGCUCGCCAAUGUCUGUCUUGAUGAGUUCGAUAAAUGGAUGGACGAGAAGAUUAAGGAGUUCUACAAGCCGUCCAAGUCGGAUGUUGUGGGAGGGGAGGAUGGCAUUGAGCAGGGGAAUACAUCAUGGCCGGAGUUUGUACCCACGAGCGGGCCUGACAAAACAAGGAAGGUGGACUAUAUUCGGUUUGGCGGGCAUUUCUUGAUUGGAGUAAGGGGCCCUAGGGCCGACGCUGCAGUGAUUCGAAAGCAGCUCAUUGAAUUUUGUGAUCAGCGGUUCAGGAUCAAGCUUGACAAUGAGAGCCUCCCAAUUGAACACAUCACUAAAGGGAUCAUGUUUCUUGAUCAUGUGUUGUGCCGUCGUGUCGUGUACCCAACCCUCCGUUACACAGCCACUGGAGGCAAGAUCAUUAGCGAGAAGGGGGUUGGUACUCUGCUCUCAGUUACAGCCAGUUUGAAGCAGUGCAUCAGGCAGUUCCGGAAGCUAGAGUUUUUAAAGGGAGACCGUGAGCCAGACCCACAGCCAUGUUUCCGGAUGUUCCAUGCCACGCAAGCUCACACUAACUUGCAGAUGAAUAAGCUUUUAACGACGAUGGCAGAAUGGUAUCGCUAUGCUGAUAACCGCAAAAAGGUUGUCAACUUUUGCUCGUACAUUAUAAGGGGGUCCUUGGCAAAGUUAUAUGCCGCCAAGUAUAAGCUGCGGUCAAGGGCAAAGGUUUAUAAGAUUGCAUCAAGGAAUCUUAGUCGACCAUUGAAGGAUAAGAAAGGGCAGUCACCAGAGUACACCAAUUUGCUGAGAAUGGGUCUUGUAGACUCAGUUGAUGGACUUCAGUAUACAAGGAUGUCAAUGGUUCCUGAUCCUGACUAUACACCAUUACCAAGCGGGUGGCGCCCGGACCACGAGAAGUUUUUGCUAGAAUAUAUAAAGCUCACAGAUCAACAAACACUGGAAGAGCAGCGGAGUUGCAUUAGAGAGGAGGGGCUUAUAACACCACAGGACCACAUUUCAAUGCUUGUAUGGAGCUACAAGAAAAAUGCAGUUUUACUACCUUCUUCAAAAGAGAGUGAUGUCCAAGAAUCCAUAGAAGACCUUGGUUCAGAUACAGAUGAAUUGAAUAACAAGGAGCUAGGGCAUGGAGGCCAUCAGGGUUUUCCAUAGCAUACUGAAAUGUCUUGAGUGUCAAUAAUUUCUGUGAAAUCACCAAGGAUUAAUUACGAUAACAGUUGGUUGCUGCCGCUGAAUUUACAAGAGACCAACUCACCGAUGGACCACAAAGACUAUGUAAAUGUGUACUACUGCCAAGCAGAUUCUAGCAUUUUGCUGGCUGGUUCAUAACUGCCUAGCUAGAUGGUUACUUCCUGCUCAAGGUCAUGACAUAUCAUGUGGCUCUAUCCUUCAAGACCAUUUUCAAAUGCUCAGGGCAUGGUGCAAGAACAUGAACUUCCAGGAUCAUUUUGCUUCCAAACAGUGCAUCUGCAUCAAGGCCAGCAGCUGCUCAUACAUCAUUCAUGUCUUUUAAGGGAGUAUGUGCUAAUCAUGCAAACUACUCUGCUUAUCAUGCAUGAUGGAUGACUCGUCACUAUUAUGUGUCAACGUAAGGCACUGUUUCUGCUAGGAUGUAGCUGGGGAUACUGUUUGUAGUCUUAGCAUUGGAAACAACUGCAGGCAACUAAGUCUCAUCACUAUUUGGAGUACUCUGUUGAUCUGUUCUUGUAUGUUAACGUUCCAACUCGUUUACUUUCCCAUCCUUGCCCUGAAUUUUGAUUGCAAAUGUCUUUUUAGUGUUCUUGUAUCUUUUGCUGUCAGAAGUAGACUGGCCCUUUCUUCAUGCUUCGACUAUGCCCAAUAAUAGUAAUUGGAAGAGAGCAAGAGAGAAGAGAAGUGGAAGUCGAAGCACAAGAUCUUGUACAACUAAUGUUAAAUAUUCUUUUCUAAGAUCUGAAUGGAAAUAUGCAUCUCGACGCUAAGUAUGGGCCCCGCGGAGCACAUUGAGGUAUGCCAAUCAUUUAGCACCACUAACCUUCUGUUAUGCCAAUGGAUAUGGUAGGCAUGAUUUUGUUCCCCACUAAAGGCCGACGAGAAGCACUCGCGGAGUCCUGACACAUAGGCCCAAG